CCACCUGACCCCAUGCCGAACUCAGAAGUGAAACGCCGUAGCGCCGAUGGUAGUGUGGGGUCUCCCCAUGUGAGAGUAGGGAACUGCCAGGU
Molecule: ribosomal RNA, 92 nt
Filed under: Pectobacterium brasiliense
Lineage: Bacteria; Pseudomonadati; Pseudomonadota; Gammaproteobacteria; Enterobacterales; Pectobacteriaceae
Source: RNAcentral